This 858-nucleotide long non-coding RNA is filed under the name Anneissia japonica. Its description in RNAcentral is "uncharacterized LOC117112072, transcript variant X1". Lineage: Eukaryota; Metazoa; Echinodermata; Crinoidea; Comatulida; Comatulidae. The record is from RNAcentral.
CUUUGUGUUUGUUGCCAGCUGCAGGAAAAGCGUGUGUGUAUCAUGGGUGUUUGAAGGCCUGAAUUUUCGUUAUUUCAAGGGCUUCUACUGUGUUAGUAUGGAAAAAGGAUGAUGAUCAUGACGCUGAUAACAGGACGACGGAUCCUUUCAUAGGAAGGAUACAAAGGCAUAGUGUAGAAGAGUGUUGUCUUUGGCUUUCAGGUGACUGAGUCUACCCUGACAUUGUUUUUGCCUUUGAACAAACUCUGCCUUGGCUGGAGUAAAAAAAAGCAGUCUAGAAAAUAUGAAUACUGCCCUCUGUUGAUGAGUAAGAUCAGUUUGCUAAUGAUGAGUAAAAUUAUUGGACCUCCUUGGAGCUGCUGAAUUUUUGGGAGGUUUCGCACAUGAACGCGUACGGUUAGUGUGACGGAUACGUCAUCAUUUUGACGUCAUACACCACCAGCCAGCCACUAAACGUGUGGAUGACACGCAUAUCUCGCUCUCUACACGUAAGUGAAAAAUGCGUAGGGAAAUUAUUGAUUUCUAGUAAGAUCUUCAUUUAUUUUUUCACAUUUUACGUAAGUGUAAAAAAUAAAUGCAUCUUUGAAUACGUACUGUACGUGCCAUUUUUGUGACAUUUGAAGACAGAAAAUUAUGAUAGGAUGCGUCUCAUUUUGGGGUAUCAAAACAUUGGUGCUUUGACCUUGGUGGUGUCGGGAUUUUGUGCAGGCCUAGGCCUACUUAUAGCCAGGCAUUUUUGGGUCAUAAACAAUAAUAACCAACAUUUUUGGACAACAAAGGAAGUAUUUUUCGGCUACAAUUUUCAAUUUCAAUUUCCAACAAAACCUUAUAUACUAAUGAAACUUUGAGAAGCAUGAU